RNAcentral lists this ribosomal RNA (253 nucleotides) under uncultured bacterium. RNAcentral's name for it is "partial 16S ribosomal RNA". It matches the Rfam family "Bacterial small subunit ribosomal RNA", at positions 524 to 776 of the family's 1533-position model. The record is from RNAcentral.
UACGUAGGGUGCGAGCGUUGUCCGGAAUUAUUGGGCGUAAAGCGCGCGUAGGCGGUCUUGUAAGUCGGAUGUGAAAUCCCUCGGCUUAACUGAGGAAGUGCAUCCGAAACUGCAAGGCUUGAGUACGAAAGAGGAUCGCGGAAUUCCCGGUGUAGAGGUGAAAUUCGUAGAUAUCGGGAGGAACACCGGUGGCGAAGGCGGCGAUCUGGGUCGAGACUGACGCUGAGGCGCGAAAGCGUGGGGAGCAAACAGG